ACACGACUACAUUAGAUACCCGUGUAGUCCUAGCCGUAAACGAUACUCGCUAGGUGUCGGCCACGGUGCGACCGUUGUCGGUGCCGUAGGGAAGCCGUGAAGCGAGCCACCUGGGAGUACGGCCGCAAGGCUGAAACUUAAAGGAAUUGGCGGGGGAGCACCGCAACGGGAGGAGCGUGCGGUUUAAUUGGAUUCAACACCGUAAACUCACCAGGGAAGACUGUUACAUGAAGGCCGAGAUGAAGACUCUGCUAGAUUUUCAG
RNAcentral lists this ribosomal RNA (263 nucleotides) under uncultured archaeon. RNAcentral's name for it is "partial 16S ribosomal RNA". It matches the Rfam family "Archaeal small subunit ribosomal RNA", at positions 719 to 982 of the family's 1478-position model. The record is from RNAcentral.